RNAcentral lists this ribosomal RNA (254 nucleotides) under uncultured bacterium. RNAcentral's name for it is "partial 16S ribosomal RNA". It matches the Rfam family "Bacterial small subunit ribosomal RNA", at positions 524 to 776 of the family's 1533-position model. The record is from RNAcentral.
GACAGAGGGUGCAAACGUUGUUCGGAAUUACUGGGCGUAAAGGGCGCGUAGGCGGCCGCCUAAGUCAGACGUGAAAUCCCUCGGCUCAACCGGGGAACUGCGUCUGAUACUGGGUGGCUUGAAUCCGGGAGAGGGAUGCGGAAUUCCAGGUGUAGCGGUGAAAUGCGUAGAUAUCUGGAGGAAUACCGGUGGCGAAGGCGGCAUCCUGGACCGGCAUUGACGCUGAGUGAGCGAAAGCCAGGGGAGCAAACGGG